GACGAACCGUGCGAACGUUGUUCGGAAUCACUGGGCUUAAAGGGCGCGUAGGCGGCUGUCUGCGUCCGGGGUGAAAUCUUUCGGCCUAACCGGAAAAGGGCCUCGGAUACGGGAUAGCUGGAGGGGGGUAGGGGCAGCUGGAACUUCCGGUGGAGCGGUGAAAUGCGUAGAGAUCGUAAGGAAGACCAGUGGCGAAGGCGGGUCUCUGGACAGUUCCUGACACUGAGGCACGAAGGCCAGGGGAGCAAACGGG
This 253-nucleotide ribosomal RNA is filed under the name uncultured prokaryote. RNAcentral describes it as "partial 16S ribosomal RNA". It matches the Rfam family "Bacterial small subunit ribosomal RNA", at positions 524 to 776 of the family's 1533-position model. The record is from RNAcentral.